GUCCACCUGUGGCCUAGUGGGUAAGGUUACAGUCUUGGGAACAUGGGGUCGUAGGUUCAAGCCCAGCUAGAGACG
Molecule: transfer RNA, 75 nt
Filed under: Anguilla anguilla (European eel)
Lineage: Eukaryota; Metazoa; Chordata; Actinopteri; Anguilliformes; Anguillidae
Description: tRNA-OTHER
Source: RNAcentral